This 484-nucleotide ribosomal RNA is filed under the name uncultured bacterium. RNAcentral describes it as "partial 16S ribosomal RNA". It matches the Rfam family "Bacterial small subunit ribosomal RNA", at positions 29 to 507 of the family's 1533-position model. The record is from RNAcentral.
AUUGAACGCUGGCGGAAUGCUUUACACAUGCAAGUCGAGCGGCAGCGCGGCCUUCGGGCUGGCGGCGAGCGGCGAACGGGUGAGUAAUGCAUCGGAACAUGCCCAGUCGUGGGGGAUAACACUUCGAAAGAAGUGCUAAUACCGCAUACGUCCUGAGGGGGAAAGCGGGGGAUCGCAAGACCUCGCGCGAUUGGAGUGGCCGAUGUCAGAUUAGCUAGUUGGUGGGGUAAAGGCCUACCAAGGCGACGAUCUGUAGCUGGUCUGAGAGGAUGAUCAGCCACACUGGGACUGAGACACGGCCCAGACUCCUACGGGAGGCAGCAGUGGGGAAUUUUGGACAAAGGGGGCAACCCUGAUCCAGCCAUGCCGCGUGAGUGAAGAAGGCCUUCGGGUUGUAAAGCUCUUUCGGCAGGAACGAAACGGUGGGCUCUAACAUAGUCCGCUAAUGACGGUACCUGAAGAAGAAGCACCGGCUAACUACGUG